RNAcentral lists this ribosomal RNA (508 nucleotides) under uncultured bacterium. Its description in RNAcentral is "partial 16S ribosomal RNA". It matches the Rfam family "Bacterial small subunit ribosomal RNA", at positions 29 to 523 of the family's 1533-position model. The record is from RNAcentral.
AUUGAACGCUGGCGGCAGGCCUAACACAUGCAAGUCGAGCGGCAGCGGGAAAGUAGCUUGCUACUUUUGCCGGCGAGCGGCGGACGGGUGAGUAAUGCCUGGGAAAUUGCCCAGUCGAGGGGGAUAACAGUUGGAAACGACUGCUAAUACCGCAUACGCCCUACGGGGGAAAGCAGGGGACCUUCGGGCCUGGCGCGAGUGGAGAUGCCCAGGUGGGAUUAGCUAGUUGGUGAGGUAAUGGCUCACAAAGGCGACGAUCCCUAGCUGGUCUGAGAGGAUGAUCAGCCACACUGGAACUGAGACACGGUCCAGACUCCUACGGGAGGCAGCAGUGGGGAAUAUUGCACAAUGGGGGAAACCCUGAUGCAGCCAUGCCGCGUGUGUGAAGAAGGCCUUCGGGUUGUAAAGCACUUUCAGCGAGGAGGAAAGGUUGAUGCCUAAUACGUAUCAACUGUGACGUUACUCGCAGAAGAAGCACCGGCUAACUCCGUGCCAGCCGCCGCCGUAA